This 241-nucleotide unclassified non-coding RNA is filed under the name Hevea brasiliensis (rubber tree). The record is from RNAcentral. Lineage: Eukaryota; Viridiplantae; Streptophyta; Magnoliopsida; Malpighiales; Euphorbiaceae.
GGAAAGCUCUCGAGGUGUAGAUGAAGUUUGACAUAAGACCCGAUUUGAUCGAUGGCAGGAUCUGUCGAAUUUUGGCCGGGAAGCCAAAACAGCGCACGCGCGUAAGGGAGACUUCGCGCGUCAUUUCAGGCCAUUUGGAGCGCCGGCCGGCGGUGAGGAAGGGCUGGGGCGGCGUGCCAGAGAGGUGGGGAGGCUGGGGUGGCGGCAGCGCGAUGUGGGGAGGAGAGAGAAAAAGGGAGAG